Vespa velutina is the source of this 2114-nucleotide long non-coding RNA. RefSeq lists it as uncharacterized. The record is from RefSeq and is a predicted model, not a curated record. The transcript has 2 exons. NCBI's taxonomy places the organism in Eukaryota, Metazoa, Arthropoda, Insecta, Hymenoptera, Vespidae.
UCCUUCUUUUUUCUUUUUUUCUUUUUUUUUUUUUUUCUUCUCUUUUUUUUGUGCAUUCCACCAUUCGAGGCCGCUACACCUGACACGCGUCGUUCGAUAUUCGAAUUUGCAUUUUGGGCUUUCAGCCAACGGAGCUUCUAUAAACGUACGCCGCUUCCCGUUGAUUCUUUCAUUCUCAUUCGUUCCGUCGAACAAAUUCGUUAGGAGGAAAAUAUUAUUUAUUCAUUUAUUUAUUUAGGUAUUUAUUUAUUAUUGGUUCUCUUCUUUACUUUUCUUUUUUUUUUUCGUUUUUUUUCAUUGUUUGUUUGCAAAAUCUCAUUCAUUCGUUCCAAUCACGUACGUUUGUAAAGAAAAAUAAAAAUUUUUCAAAAUUAUUCGACUUCCAACGUUUAAAUAAAAAAACCUUGAAAGAUAAAAGCGAUAUAUAUAUAUAUAUAUCUGGAAUUAUGUUAGUAUCUUAUUGUGAAUGGCACCCUUUAUAUCGCUUACUUCUAGAAAAUCGCUUUUCCAUGUCAGAAAAUUCCCCUAGCAUCACGUUUUUCUCAUUGACCGUUUCACACUGGAAGCCAUCGUCGAAUAGUAGUGACCGUCCUCUACUAGAGAGAAACGUUUCCCCAUUACUCUUGCUUUUCUUUUCGACUAAAGGAAAUUCUUUUCUUUUCAUUUCGUUUCUUUCCUUUUCUUCUCUCUUCUUUUCUUUUCUUUUCUUUUCUUUUCUUUUCUUUUCUUUUCUUUGCCAUUCGAUGACCGAAUUCCUUUUUUCGUAUCCCUCUUUUCAUUAUCACAAAAUUCGUAGUCGACACAAUUAUAUACACAAUCGUAUCUAUGUACUUACCUUCUUAACUAUCUAAGAAUAGAAAUCUAUGAGUGAAGUUAGCCAGUGCCAACUUGACAAAUAAGAUACAAUCGAAUAAAUAGACUCGGUUGUAUUACGUAAAAAGAUCCUCGAGGUUACUCGUCACGAUCAACUAGAUCGAUUAAAGGGGAAUAAUUCGGAAAAAUCCUCGAGAUUAUAUCUUGUUAAUAAUUUACGUCAAACGACGCUAUAAAUCAACAUUUGUGUUUCAAUGUUUCGAUAUCACGAAACCCGAUGGAUGUUCGUUGAUAGGAAUUGAUUGGCCAUUGAAUAAAUUGAUGAAAGAGAUCGUAUCAAUACGACGAGAUAUAUAUAUAUAUUUUUUUUUUUUUUUUUUUCAAGAAUCAUAGUAGUAAUGAUAAAUAAAAUUUUCGUCAAAAGGAAUUUAGAAAGAGAGGAAAUAAAAAAAAAGGGGGGGGGGAGGAUGGAAAUAAAAAAAGAAAAAAGAGGACGAAUAUAAAACAAGAGGGAAAAAAAAAGAAAGAUUUGAUACCCUCAUAGGUGUUAUCAUUGCUUCUCAUUGUGGAACAAAAAAAAAAAAAAAAAAAAAAGAAGUAUCGUUCUUCGAUAUUUUUCAACCUCUCUCUCUCUCUCUCUCUCUCUCUCUCUCUCUCUCUCUCUCUCUCUCUCUCUCUCUUUUCGCUUCCACAUAUAUCUAUCUCUCUUCGUGUUUACUCUUUUUCCGAAACAUUCAUAACUCCAUCGGAACAUUUCGCGGUCGCAUUUAUCUAUUUUCCAAGCGUCCUAUCGCGUAGUCUCGAUAUUUUGCGGUUUCCAUGAACGAUAUGGAUAUUCGUUUGAAUAAUGUUUCGACGUUUCCUAACAUAGGUAUACAUGAAUCUAUUGUAUAUCUGCAUUCGUGUAUAAUGCAUACGCAGUUUAACGUAGGUAAGUAACGUCCGAAAGAAAAGUGAAAAGAAAAAGAAAAGGAGUGAAAAAAAAAGAAGGGUAAAGGGGACGAAGGGAAGAAAGAAAAAGAAAGGUAAAUAGAAAAAGAAAAUUCGCAGAAGAAAAAGAGAUCGCGCGAAAAGGGAAAAAGGACUCGGUUGACCCGCUUUUAAAGUUCUACCCACACAAAAUCCUUGGCAACGGAACUGAAACUUUUUACCGAGAACUUUGGCACUGUGCAAGCCGCGAAGCGAGAGAAGGUCAAGGCCGAAUGAAGGAGAAGAAGGAAGGAGUAAGAGGAGGUAAGUUCUCAUAUAUAAUACGUAAGGGAAAUUUGUCGGACUUCUCUUUUACUGGUGGGGUUGGGUUG